UAAUGAAGAUGCAAAAAGAGCCGAGCAGUAACUCGACUCUAAUGUAGCCCGUUAAAAAGACGGUGGCUUGUUUACAGUGUAUAUAACA
RNAcentral lists this small RNA (88 nucleotides) under Granulicatella elegans ATCC 700633. RNAcentral's name for it is "RNA anti-toxin A". It matches the Rfam family "RNA anti-toxin A". Lineage: Bacteria; Bacillati; Bacillota; Bacilli; Lactobacillales; Carnobacteriaceae. The record is from Rfam by way of RNAcentral.